GCAAGUCGAACGGCAGCACGGAGAGCUCGCUCUCUGGUGGCGAGUGGCGAACGGGUGAGUAAUAUAUCGGAACGUGUCCAAUAAUGGGGGAUAACGAGUCGAAAGAUUCGCUAAUACCGCAUACGCCCUACGGGGGAAAGCAGGGGAUCGUAAGACCUUGCGUUAAUGGAGCGGCCGAUAUCUGAUUAGCUUGUUGGUGAGGUAAAGGCUCACCAAGGCGACGAUCAGUAGCUGGUUUGAGAGAACGACCAGCCACACUGGAACUGAGACACGGUCCAGACUCCUACGGGAGGCAGCAGUGGGGAAUUUUGGACAAUGGGGGCAACCCUGAUCCAGCCAUUCCGCGUGAGUGAAGAAGGCCUUCGGGUUGUAAAGCUCUUUCGCAAGGGAAGAAAACUUAUGAUCGAAUAAAUCAUGAGGUUGACGGUACCUUGAUAAGAAGCACCGGCUAACUACGUGCCAGCAGCCGCGGUAAUACGUAGGGUGCGAGCGUUAAUCGGAAUUACUGGGCGUAAAGCGUGCGCAGGCGGUUUUGUAAGUCGGAUGUGAAAUCCCCGGGCUCAACCUGGGAACUGCGUUCGAAACUGCAAGGCUAGAGUGUGUCAGAGGGGGGUAGAAUUCCACGUGUAGCAGUGAAAUGCGUAGAGAUGUGGAGGAAUACCAAUGGCGAAGGCAGCCCCCUGGGAUAACACUGACGCUCAUGCACGAAAGCGUGGGGAGCAAACAGGAUUAGAUACCCUGGUAGUCCACGCCCUAAACGAUGUCAACUAGUUGUUGGUAGAGUAAAAUCUAUGAGUAACGUAGCUAACGCGUGAAGUUGACCGCCUGGGGAGUACGGUCGCAAGAUUAAAACUCAAAGGAAUUUGACGGGG
RNAcentral lists this ribosomal RNA (872 nucleotides) under uncultured beta proteobacterium. RNAcentral's name for it is "bacterial SSU rRNA". It matches the Rfam family "Bacterial small subunit ribosomal RNA", at positions 57 to 918 of the family's 1533-position model. The record is from RNAcentral. Lineage: Bacteria; Pseudomonadati; Pseudomonadota; Betaproteobacteria.